This 248-nucleotide ribosomal RNA is filed under the name uncultured bacterium. RNAcentral's name for it is "partial 16S ribosomal RNA". It matches the Rfam family "Bacterial small subunit ribosomal RNA", at positions 15 to 210 of the family's 1533-position model. The record is from RNAcentral.
GAUCCUGGCUCAGGAUGAACGCUGGCGGCAUGCCUAGACAUGCAAGUCGAACGAGGCGGCCCACUGAUUUGAAAAGAAGUUGGAGUGCUUGCACAAAGAUGGAAUUUUAAUGAAGUGGAACUUCCGCCUAGUGGCGCAAGGGUGAGUAACACGUGGGUAAUCUACCUUAGAGACUGGGAUAACAGUUGGAAACGACUGCUAAUACCGGAUGAUAUGUAAGAAGAUACGUUUUCUUAUAUUAAAAGGAG